Molecule: long non-coding RNA, 4204 nt
Organism: Gigantopelta aegis
Lineage: Eukaryota; Metazoa; Mollusca; Gastropoda; Neomphalida; Peltospiridae
Exons: 2
Source: RefSeq, a predicted model, not a curated record
GCAUUCGGAUGAUCCUCAAGUCCAGAGGCGCUUCUCUGUUGACCACGGGAAUCUUACACAUAUAUUUUAUACGGUUUUGAUCACGAUAACAGGUCGUUUUCACCACUUACAUAAUCUCAUGAUCUGUAUUCAGAACAAAUUCUCUCAUCGCUUCUAUAACGGCAACUGUUCCAUUUCUGUGGAUGUACAGCAGAUAGUUAGGUUUAUUUUCUAUGAUAGUUGCGUAAAUAGUUUUCACAUGAAAUAGAGUGAACAAAGACUUUUCACUUAAGCCGAUGUUGCAGUGAUUACCAAGAGAAAUCGGUGCAACUUCGAAGAUUGUGGAAAAGAUUUCCUCCAUUUCUAAACAUGUAGUCUUAAACUUUCAUCAGAGAAUUCAAUUUCUCGCAUUGUGUAGUUUGAUAUCGUCCGUUUGUUUUGUUGCAUGGUAGUGAUUUAUAAUUUGAAUGGGAAUAAGUUUUUUUUUUAAAAGCCAGACUAACGUCUGCGUCCGUACUUAUAAAACUUUAAAUCUAUACACUCAAAAUCUCUAAUGAGGUCUACACACAUGCAAUUUGUCUGCCGUUAAAGUCCAGAUUCUACUAUUCUGGACCCUACAUAGUUUAGGGUUUUUAAAAAUAAAUAUUAAAAAAGUGAUACAGGCAAUACCACCUGCGUCGCUCAUGAACAUGAGGUUGGGGGUGGGAGGGGAGGCAGUAACAAAUAUUCAGAACCCAGUAAUAUAGUAUUCGAAUCUCCAGCUAAACAAAAAUGGCAUGUCUAAACUUAAAAGGACAUGUUUUUUUUUUUUUUUUUUUUUUACAUCUCUGCAACUCUCCCUCGAUCCACCUAAGAUUAAAAUAAACAACAACAUUCAAAUAUAAUAUUAAGCUAGUUUAACCCGUGAUAUGAAGCAGCCACUUACGAGGGUAAAGAAUGUGGUCUUAUUAGGACAGGUGGCUGCUUUAUACAGGUCAGUUUAUAUUCAUGAUCCGUUCUAGAUGAUUUUAGAAAAUAAUACAGUGGCGUUUUCAGACAGGCGGUCGCUUUAUACAGGUCAGUUUAUAUUCAUGAUCCGUUGUAGAUGAUUUUAGAAAAUAAUACAGCGGCGUUUUAAGACAGGCGGUUGCUUUAUACAGGUCAGUUUAUAUUCAUGAUCCGUCCUAGAUAAUUUUAGAAAAUAAUACAGCGGCGUUUUCAGACAGGCGGUUGCUUUAUACAGGUCAGUUUAUAUUCAUGAUCCGUCCUAGAAGAUUUGAGAAAAUAAUACAGCGGCGUUUUAAGACAGGCGGUUGCUUUAGCAGAAGUAUUCACUUCAGUAGUGUUUGAAUGUCAUAUUGGGAACACCAUGACCUGGACCUCCGACAACCACCCAUGACUACUGACCUGUGUGUUGAAAGUUACAUGUCACGUGAUGUUUAUGUGCAAGUACAAUCAAUGGUGUUAUACUUUAACUAAAACAGUAACAAGGGGUGGUCUUAAACAACUGGCUGGACAAUACAGAUGAACUUGUAUUAUACACAAUUUUGGACAAUCAUACAUUAGCCUCACGUUUGAUGAGUUACUAUAAUUUAGAUUUAUCAAGUGUCGCUUGAGCUGGUUUAACUGUAAGUGGUAGGUACACGUUUGGUGAAAUAUAGGACACAGCGAUUGUCAUGUAAGAGACGAAAAAAUGUCAUAACUGUGCAGACGGCUUGAUGUGAAACUAUAAUGAUCUAUAGACGACGAACUAGAGAACUGUGUAAUAUGAUGUCAAGCAAACAAUUGUAUUUAUUCACUGGAACAAGUUAACGAAUAACUGUAUCAAGUAACAGGUGUUUACGUACAGUAAAUUACUGUUGUUAGUUUGUCAGUUUAUUUUUAAGUAGACGUAUUUGGGUUUUUUUAAAAUCCUGUCCUGGUGUUAUUCCGACAACAAGGUUAACGUAAACAGAUCAUUGACCUCAGCUCAUUGUAUUCUAUUAACUCGUAUAGUAUACAACAGGUGAAGAGUUCAAAGAAACAUGGAAGUGUUUACAGCAAAUAACGCUUCGCAAGAAUCAGAUUCUCAUGAACACUGGAGCAGUCUGGAUGCGGUGGUAUCGUGUUCUGAUAGCGAACCUCUUUUACACAGUGAAACCAAUAUGAAAAUUACAGGCGGUAUAUAUACGGAGAGAUACGGAAUUACACGGACCGAGUGUGUAGACGAACAAUUGGCAGACGAACAAUUGAGAGAACAGAAGAAAACAAAACGGAUUAAAAACAAAAAGCUUCGGAAACGAUUAGGACAAGUGGUGCACAGCAGUUGGAAGUGGCUGAAGCGUGGUUUUGCUGGUUAUUAUCUCUCUGCUAACUGGAUGUUUGGAUUUGCAGUUAGCCCGGCAGACAUUUACAAAUCUGCUUAUGACAAGACUUGAACUGAAAUCACUGUGUGCAGCUUGUUUUUUUUGUUUUUUUAAAUCAUCAAGAAACUACUUGUAUAUUAUUUAUGUAUGCAUGAAAUAUAAAAAACCAAAAACGAGAGAGAGAGAGAGAGAGAGAGAGAGAGAGAGAGAGAGAGAGAGAGAGAGAGAGAGAGAGAGAGAGAGAGAGAGAGAGAGUGAGUGAGUGAGUGCUAGUUUUAACAAAUUUUAUUUAUUUAAAAAUAUAUAUAUAAAAAUUAAUCUCAACAAAAACCCACUCCCAAAACAACCAGACCACACCUGUUAUAAAAUUUAGAUUAGUUUGUGUUUAAUAAGAUAAAUAUAAAUUAAUAUAUUAUAUAAUACUGAGUAUUUAAACAGAUGCUACCUGUUGACAGGCAACAGGUGCAAACUGGUUGUUGAAUAUAUUUUGUAUAAAUUUAUAAUUUUAUACUACACUAUAGUAGGGUCUCCACGAGUACUCGGGCACGGGUCGAGUCUAGCAAAGACUAAGUCCAUUCACAGGACUCGAGUACCCGUACAAGUGAGACAAUGUAGAGCAACUAGUUCAGCGGUAACUAAUUAACGAUACAAGUUACACAAUAAUUAUAUGACUAUUUGCUAGUUUCUUUUUUAACCUGGCUGUCCGUUCGUCCGUCACAAUACUGAACGUAUCAACGGGUUUCUAAAUGCAAUACAAUGGCAUGAUUUGGCAUUCAUGUUCAGUGCUGGAAUUAAGCUAUAUAAUGCUAUUUGACGUUAUAUUCCUUUGUCUCAUUAUCAUCUUGUGUAAGCGUCGGGUACUCGGGUCCAGGUCGAGUUUGACUCUCGAGUACUCGAGUCCAAUAUAUUGGACUCGUGGAGGCCCUACACUGUAGUGUGCAGUUUCAUGUUGUAUUUUAUAUUUGGGUAAUGUACCUUUUGACUUUCCCUAAUGAUACUUGAUUUGUGUUGUAUAUUACAUUUUAUCACAAAAGAGUAUUCCUUUUUUAAUUGUUCACUCAUACUAAAAGUGCACGUCAAGUUAUUUUUAAUGGAUGUUUUUAUUUUAAAUUUUUGUAUUAAAGCAUAAACAUUUAUUGCACAAACAUCUCAAACUUAACUGAAUACACCAUCUUCUAAGCAGUUAAGGCCUGUACAAAAUGCUACAUUAAUUGAAGAUAUUAUAAUAAAUUUAAUUGUGAUGCCUCUAUCCAUAUGUUAACUAUGUUUAGUCAGCUCAGCAAUUUUGGGGUGAAUUUCUUUUGAUAAUCUGAACCAAUGGCAUAGGGAGAUGAUGCAAACGUCCAUAAACAAAACUAACUCGUUGGUUAAUCUAAUACCAUAUUGUAGAAAACUGCAAAUAGGAAUACUGUAUACAAUGUGUUCAGAAACAUUUGCAUCUGUGCCAUCUGUUGGUAAAAUACCAGUUCAACAUGUGUGCAAAUACAUGUAUGUGUGUUUAUACCAACAGUUAAUACAUAACAUGUGGUAAAUAUUGUACAAUAUAGCACACCUGUGCACACAGGUUUUAUUCUUAAUAUGGCAACAAUGCUGAAUUCAUUUACACAUGUAUUGUGAAAAAUAUUGAUAACAACUAAGAUAUCAUGAUUAUUUAGUUGAAUGAAUAAAAAUCUUUGCCAUACAUAUACAAUUCAUGUAACCAUUCUAGUCUGACAUUGUACAUACUCCCCAACAUAUCAUGUCUAUUCCUCAGAAUAUGACAACAUUCCAAUGAGUUAUGGUUGUCCAGCUACAAAGAAGGCAAUGGAAAUAAGAAAAUUCAACUAAAAUUGAUGUAAUGUUGAUUGGAAUGACUUUCAAGACUGUAUAUAUUUUUACUGUUAAUAAAAUGUUGAACAAUG